AGCUUUGCACAGUGGCAGUAUCAUAGCCAAUGGGGUUUAUCCGAGGCACGAUUAUUGGUAAUUGAAUAAAUAAAUUUAACAUGUUAAUGAAUUUAAUCCUCACAACAACUCAGAAGUAUAUUAAAAAAUUCCAUUUUAUAAGUGAG
Molecule: small nuclear RNA, 146 nt
Organism: Pipistrellus kuhlii (Kuhl's pipistrelle)
Lineage: Eukaryota; Metazoa; Chordata; Mammalia; Chiroptera; Vespertilionidae
Product: U4 spliceosomal RNA
Exons: 1
Source: RefSeq, a predicted model, not a curated record